UCCAGACUCCUACGGGAGGCAGCAGUGAGGAAUAUUGGUCAAUGGGCGCGAGCCUGAACCAGCCAAGUCGCGUGAGGGAGGACGGCCCUACGGGUUGUAAACCUCUUUUGCCGGGGAGCAACGGGCGCCACGUGUGGCGCCACUGAGAGUACCCGGAGAAAAAGCAUCGGCUAACUCCGUGCCAGCAGCCGCGGUAAUACGGAGGGUGCGAGCGUUAAUCGGAAUUACUGGGCGUAAAGCGCACGUAGGCUGUAUGACAAGUCAAGGGUGAAAUGCCACGGCUCAACCGUGGAACUGCCUUUGAAACUGUCAAACUGGAGUAUGUGAGAGGGCGGCGGAAUUCCUGGUGUAGGAGUGAAAUCCGUAGAUAUCAGGAGGAACAUCAGUGGCGAAGGCGGCCGCCUGGCACAAAACUGACGCUGAGGUGCGAAAGCGUGGGUAGCAAACAGGAUUAGAUACCCCGGUAC
Molecule: ribosomal RNA, 467 nt
Filed under: uncultured bacterium
Lineage: Bacteria
Description: bacterial SSU rRNA
Rfam family: Bacterial small subunit ribosomal RNA
Source: RNAcentral